AUACGGAGGAUGCGAGCGUUAUCCGGAUUUAUUGGGUUUAAAGGGAGCGUAGGUGGGAUAUUAAGUCAGCUGUGAAAGUUUGGGGCUCAACCUUAAAAUUGCAGUUGAUACUGGUUUCCUUGAGUACGGUACAGGUGGGCGGAAUUCGUGGUGUAGCGGUGAAAUGCUUAGAUAUCACGAAGAACUCCGAUCGCGAAGGCAGCUCACCGGGCCGGAACUGACACUGAUGCUCGAAAGUGCGGGUAUCAAACAGGAUUAGAUACCCUGGUAGUCCGCACAGUAAACGAUGAAUACUCGCUGUUUGCGAUACACGGUAAGCGGCCAAGCGAAAGCGUUAAGUAAUCCACCUGGGGAGUACGCCGG
RNAcentral lists this ribosomal RNA (363 nucleotides) under uncultured bacterium. Its description in RNAcentral is "partial 16S ribosomal RNA". It matches the Rfam family "Bacterial small subunit ribosomal RNA", at positions 523 to 888 of the family's 1533-position model. The record is from RNAcentral.